UCUCCUUCCCCGGAGACUGUUUCGUCUGAAUGUUGGCCAUCGAGCUCUGUAAAUAGGGAAAUUGAAAAUAAAAAUACAUAAAAUGUCUAAUGUUUUCAAGCUAAGCGACUGAAAGUCUAAGAUAGUAAGAUAGCAAACUAUUUAUUCGCAUGCACAUCAAAAAUGCCGCAGGCCACAACAUUUGGAUCUCAGCUUGUCACUUUUCAUUCAUGUAUUUAAAUGUGUCUGUGUGUGUGUAACUGGCAGUUCUUGCAGGGCCCAACGAAGUCCAGUUCAGGGAACAUGUCACUUGCCAAAUAAACUGCAAUGUGACAGCCAACAACAACAACGACAUGAAGUAAAAGAUAGCGUCGAUGAUAUAAGGGAGUAUGGAAGAUUAAACAAGAGAGCAUGAGAAUAAAAGACAACUGAAGCUAGAGAGCGACAUUCGUCCAUGGUGGAAUAUAUUAGAAAUACAAACUGAUAAGGCGAUAAUUGUGCACAACCCUUGCGACUAUGGUUACAUCCCCCCAAUGGUUUGGCGUUUAAUGAAGUGUCAUCGCCUGUAAAAUGAGUCUGUAAAUCGUAUUAAACCAACUACACGGUUUAGGGAAGACCUUGUCAAGUACGACAGCAAACUCCCGUUACCGUGUUGCCGAAGGCUACAGAUUGCGGAUUAUACAGAUACAGUAGCUGCCUUGCACACAAACACGCGGUUGAAAUUUACCCACAGAGAUUUGGUUCACCAGAAUCUUUGUGUUGAUGAGGUUAAACUAAUUAUAAGAGCCUGAGUAAAUAUACAUACAACAAUCUCGUUUCGUUUUUUGUACAUAUUGACGCUUAUAUAAGAAGUUAUAUAUCUAAUCU
Long non-coding RNA from Drosophila albomicans, 846 nucleotides. RefSeq lists it as uncharacterized. NCBI's taxonomy places the organism in Eukaryota, Metazoa, Arthropoda, Insecta, Diptera, Drosophilidae. The transcript has 4 exons. The record is from RefSeq and is a predicted model, not a curated record.